Hemicordylus capensis (graceful crag lizard) is the source of this 830-nucleotide long non-coding RNA. RefSeq lists it as uncharacterized. The record is from RefSeq and is a predicted model, not a curated record. Lineage: Eukaryota; Metazoa; Chordata; Lepidosauria; Squamata; Cordylidae. The transcript is spliced from 2 exons.
GGUGCGGUUGAGCCGAGGGUCUCCAUAACCUCUGGGCAGGGGAAUGGUGGCCGCGGUGGGGGGGGGGGAUACUCCUAAAACUAGGUCAGCCCCACACCGAGUCAGCUGGACUUCGGGAGGGGCGAGGAGCCGAAGCCCUGCUAUAUUCCCCACGUCCCGGAGAGGCGCACAGUGAGAGGAGGCGGCAGCGGCGAGCAGGUUCCCACGACGCGAGCCCCAGCAGCGUUACCUGCUUUGCCAGCCCUGGAUGAGGGAGAGAACGUGCCCAAGUCCACACAGUGGGAUUCUAUUACUGAAGUGGAAACUGAACCCAGCUCUUCUAGGCACCAAGUCUAGCAGCAUCUACUAGACCAGAGGGGUUCCAAACCUUGGACCCCCAGAUGUCGUUGGACUACAUUUCAUGACCCCUAGCCACAGUGACUUUGGAAUGGCUGUACAAGACAAAAUAGCUGUUUGCAACUGUAACUGCAUACCAUGAAAAUAUGAGGUUACUCAGCUGUAUGCUGGUGAAAACAUUUAAAAUCAGGACAUGAACCUGUCAGUGCAUGGGCGUGAAUAGCAUAGCCCUGGUCUCAUCCUUUAUUUUCCAAGAUCAACUGCACCCAUUUGUGGUUUAAGGACAUGUUAACUCAGUUACUCAGCUUUCGUGAUUCAUGUUUAUUUUUAGAAUCUUCUCACUUCUUAAAGCGCAUAGCUGGCAUACGAAUAUUGGAAGCUUCCCAAAAUGUAAGCUAACACAAUGUGAAAGUUAUUCCAUCAUUAGCCUUUUUUUAAAGGGACAAAAAACCAUGAUCAUGGAGCAAGAAAAUAAAUUAGCACGGUUGCUUGAA